Long non-coding RNA from Myotis brandtii (Brandt's bat), 132 nucleotides. RefSeq lists it as uncharacterized. The transcript has 3 exons. Lineage: Eukaryota; Metazoa; Chordata; Mammalia; Chiroptera; Vespertilionidae. The record is from RefSeq and is a predicted model, not a curated record.
CUGGCUAAGACUCCCAAUAUUAUGUUGAAUAGCAGAGAUGAGAAUGAGCAUCCUUGUCUUGCUUGUGAUCUUAGAGGAAAGUUUUCAGUUUUUCACCAUUGAAUAAGAUGCUAACUGAAGGUAUGAUCUGAA